GACGAACGCUGGCGGCGUGCUUAACACAUGCAAGUCGAACGGACGGGCCCGGCUCUUGCUGGGUUCUCGAUUGGCGAACGGGGGAGUAACACGCGAGUAACCUCCCCCUGACAUUGGGAGAACUUCACGAGACUGGGGCUAAUACCGGGGAUGAUCUCCUGCUGCGUGUGGGUGGAUGGUAAGAUCCGGCGGUUUGGGCUGGACUCGCUGCUUAUCAGCUUGUUGGGGAGGUAGUUGCGUACCAAGGCUUUGAAGGAUAGCCCGCCUGGGAGGGUGACCGGCCACCUUGCGCCUGAGAUACGCAGCAGACGCCUACGGGCGGCAGCAGUGGGGAAUAUUGCGCAAUGGGCGGGAGCCUGAUGUGGAGGCGCCGCGAGCGGGAUGCCGGCCUUCGAGUUGUAAACAGCUUUCGACUGUGCCGAAGCGUGCGUGACGGUAAUGGGUAAGGAAGCCCCGGCUAACUACGUG
This 468-nucleotide ribosomal RNA is filed under the name uncultured bacterium. RNAcentral describes it as "partial 16S ribosomal RNA". It matches the Rfam family "Bacterial small subunit ribosomal RNA", at positions 28 to 507 of the family's 1533-position model. The record is from RNAcentral.